Molecule: ribosomal RNA, 468 nt
Filed under: uncultured bacterium
Lineage: Bacteria
Description: partial 16S ribosomal RNA
Rfam family: Bacterial small subunit ribosomal RNA
Source: RNAcentral
GAUGAACGCUGACAGAAUGCUUAACACAUGCAAGUCUACUUGAAUUUGGGUUUUUUAACUUAGAUUUGGGUGGCGGACGGGUGAGUAACGCGUAAAGAACUUGCCUCACAGUUAGGGACAACAUUUGGAAACGAAUGCUAAUACCUGAUAUUAUGAAUAUAUGGCAUCAUAUCAUUAUGAAAGCUAUACGCGCUGUGAGAGAGCUUUGCGUCCCAUUAGCUAGUUGGAGAGGUAACGGCUCACCAAGGCGAUGAUGGGUAGCCGGCCUGAGAGGGUGAACGGCCAACAGGGGACUGAGACACGGCCCUUACUCAUACGGGAGGCAGCAGUGGGGAAUAUUGGACAAUGGACCAAGAGUCUGAUCCAGCAAUUCUGUGUGCACGAUGACGUUUUUCGGAAUGUAAAGUGCUUUCAGUUGGGAAGAAAAAAAUGACGGUACCAACAGAAGAAGUGACGGCUAAAUACGUG